RNAcentral lists this ribosomal RNA (497 nucleotides) under uncultured bacterium. RNAcentral describes it as "partial 16S ribosomal RNA". It matches the Rfam family "Bacterial small subunit ribosomal RNA", at positions 28 to 507 of the family's 1533-position model. The record is from RNAcentral.
GAUGAACGCUGGCGGCGUGCCUAAUACAUGCCAGUCGAGCGAACGGACGAGAAGCUUGCUUCUCUGAUGUUAGCGGCGGACGGGUGAGUAACACGUGGAUAACCUACCCAUAAGACUGGGAUAACUUCGGGAAACCGGAGCUAAUACCGGAUAAUAUUUUGAACCGCAUGGUUCAAAAGUGAAAGACGGUCUUGCUGUCACUUAUAGAUGGAUCCGCGCUGCAUUAGCUAGUUGGUAAGGUAACGGCUUACCAAGGCAACGAUGCAUAGCCGACCUGAGAGGGUGAUCGGCCACACUGGAACUGAGACACGGUCCAGACUCCUACGGGAGGCAGCAGUAGGGAAUCUUCCGCAAUGGGCGAAAGCCUGACGGAGCAACGCCGCGUGAGUGAUGAAGGUCUUCGGAUCGUAAAACUCUGUUAUUAGGGAAGAACAUAUGUGUAAGUAACUGUGCACAUCUUGACGGUACCUAAUCAGAAAGCCACGGCUAACUACGUG